GCGGAAGUAGCUCAAUCGGUUAGAGCAUGGGGCGUCCAGCUCCGAGGUUGCUGGUUCAAGUCCAGCCUUCCGCUCCA
RNAcentral lists this transfer RNA (77 nucleotides) under Pseudosulfitobacter pseudonitzschiae. RNAcentral's name for it is "Sulfitobacter pseudonitzschiae tRNA-Gly". It matches the Rfam family "tRNA". From Rfam's summary of the family: Transfer RNA (tRNA) molecules are approximately 80 nucleotides in length. Their secondary structure includes four short double-helical elements and three loops (D, anti-codon, and T loops). The record is from RNAcentral. Lineage: Bacteria; Pseudomonadati; Pseudomonadota; Alphaproteobacteria; Rhodobacterales; Roseobacteraceae.